This 231-nucleotide long non-coding RNA is filed under the name Chrysemys picta bellii (western painted turtle). RNAcentral's name for it is "lncRNA (ENSCPBG00000001745.1)". Lineage: Eukaryota; Metazoa; Chordata; Testudines; Emydidae. The record is from RNAcentral.
UAGCGACUGUGCCUGUCUGCAGAGCGAGAGAAGGUACAGAAGUCAGAAGAGAGAGCGAGAGAGAGCACUCUUCUGUUAUAAGCAGAGCUCUCAGAAGGUGCUUGGCUUUGGAGUCACCAUGCCUUGCUUGAACAUGAAAUUGCUGUUAGCAGUGGUCUGAGGAAUUAGACUCAGAUUGGCAGUGUCCUUGAUGCCUCAAGAAUCCGUAUUAGUUGUCUCCUCUCUACUUCU